GCAAGAUUAAAACUCAAAGGAAUAGACGGGGACCCGCACAAGUGGUGGAGCAUGUGGUUUAAUUCGAAGAUACGCGAAGAACCUUACCUAGCCUUGACAUAUUUUAGAACUCACCAGAGAUGGAGAGGUGCCUUCGGGAGCUAAUUUACAGGUGCUGCACGGCUGUCGUCAGCUCGUGUCGUGAGAUGUUGGGUUAAGUCCCGCAACGAGCGCAACCCUCGUCACUAGUUACUAACGGUUCGGCCGAGGACUCUAGUGAGACUGCCUUCGUAAGGAGGAGGAAGGUGAGGACGACGUCAAGUCAUCAUGGCCCUUACGGCUAGGGCAACACACGUGCUACAAUGGCCAGGACAGUGAGAAGCGAUACCGCGAGGUGGAGCAAAUCUAUAAACCUGGUCUCAGUUCGGAUUGUAGUCUGCAACUCGACUACAUGAAGCUGGAAUCACUAGUAAUCGUAGAUCAGCUAUGCUACGGUGAAUACGUUCCCGGGUCUUGUACUCACCGCCCGUCACACCAUGGGAGUUGAUUUCACCCGAAGCGGGGAAGCUAAACUGGCUACCCUCCACGGUGGAAUUAGCGACUGGGGUGAAGUCGUAACAAGGUA
Molecule: ribosomal RNA, 604 nt
Filed under: uncultured bacterium
Lineage: Bacteria
Description: bacterial SSU rRNA
Rfam family: Bacterial small subunit ribosomal RNA
Source: RNAcentral